This 1459-nucleotide ribosomal RNA is filed under the name uncultured organism. RNAcentral describes it as "SSU rRNA". It matches the Rfam family "Bacterial small subunit ribosomal RNA". The record is from RNAcentral.
GCAGGCCUAACACAUGCAAGUCGAGCGGUAGCACAGAGAGCUUGCUCUCGGGUGACGAGCGGCGGACGGGUGAGUAAUGUCUGGGAAACUGCCUGAUGGAGGGGGAUAACUACUGGAAACGGUAGCUAAUACCGCAUAACGUCGCAAGACCAAAGUGGGGGACCUUCGGGCCUCAUGCCAUCAGAUGUGCCCAGAUGGGAUUAGCUAGUAGGUGGGGUAACGGCUCACCUAGGCGACGAUCCCUAGCUGGUCUGAGAGGAUGACCAGCCACACUGGAACUGAGACACGGUCCAGACUCCUACGGGAGGCAGCAGUGGGGAAUAUUGCACAAUGGGCGCAAGCCUGAUGCAGCCAUGCCGCGUGUGUGAAGAAGGCCUUCGGGUUGUAAAGCACUUUCAGCGGGGAGGAAGGCGUUAAGGUUAAUAACCUUGGCGAUUGACGUUACCCGCAGAAGAAGCACCGGCUAACUCUGUGCCAGCAGCCGCGGUAAUACGGAGGGUGCAAGCGUUAAUCGGAAUUACUGGGCGUAAAGCGCACGCAGGCGGUCUGUCAAGUCGGAUGUGAAAUCCCCGGGCUCAACCUGGGAACUGCAUUCGAAACUGGCAGGCUAGAGUCUUGUAGAGGGGGGGUAGAAUUCCAGGUGUAGCGGUGAAAUGCGUAGAGAUCUGGAGGAAUACCGGUGGCGAAGGCGGCCCCCUGGACAAAGACUGACGCUCAGGUGCGAAAGCGUGGGGAGCAAACAGGAUUAGAUACCCUGGUAGUCCACGCCGUAAACGAUGUCGAUUUGGAGGUUGUGCCCUUGAGGCGUGGCUUCCGGAGCUAACGCGUUAAAUCGACCGCCUGGGGAGUACGGCCGCAAGGUUAAAACUCAAAUGAAUUGACGGGGGCCCGCACAAGCGGUGGAGCAUGUGGUUUAAUUCGAUGCAACGCGAAGAACCUUACCUGGUCUUGACAUCCAGAGAAUUUGCUAGAGAUAGCUUAGUGCCUUCGGGAACUCUGAGACAGGUGCUGCAUGGCUGUCGUCAGCUCGUGUUGUGAAAUGUUGGGUUAAGUCCCGCAACGAGCGCAACCCUUAUCCUUUGUUGCCAGCACGUAAUGGUGGGAACUCAAAGGAGACUGCCGGUGAUAAACCGGAGGAAGGUGGGGAUGACGUCAAGUCAUCAUGGCCCUUACGAGUAGGGCUACACACGUGCUACAAUGGCAUAUACAAAGAGAAGCGAACUCGCGAGAGCAAGCGGACCUCAUAAAGUAUGUCGUAGUCCGGAUUGGAGUCUGCAACUCGACUCCAUGAAGUCGGAAUCGCUAGUAAUCGUAGAUCAGAAUGCUACGGUGAAUACGUUCCCGGGCCUUGUACACACCGCCCGUCACACCAUGGGAGUGGGUUGCAAAAGAAGUAGGUAGCCUAACCUUCGGGAGGGCGCUUACCACUUUGUGAUUCAUGACUGGGGUGAAGUCAUAA